GAUGAACGCUGGCGGCGUGCCUAAUACAUGCAAGUCGAGCGAACGGACGAGAAGCUUGCUUCUCUGAUGUUAGCGGCGGACGGGUGAGUAACACGUGGAUAACCUACCUAUAAGACUGGGAUAACUUCGGGAAACCGGAGCUAAUACCGGAUGAUAUUUUGAACCGCAUGGUUCAAAAGUGAAAGACGGUCUUGCUGUCACUUAUAGAUGGAUCCGCGCUGCAUUAGCUAGUUGGUAAGGUAACGGCUUACCAAGGCAACGAUGCAUAGCCGACCUGAGAGGGUGAUCGGCCACACUGGACCUGAGACACGGUCCAGACUCCUACGGGAGGCAGCAGUAGGGAAUCUUCCGCAAUGGGCGAAAGCCUGACGGAGCAACGCCGCGUGAGUGAGGAAGGUCUUCGGAUCGUAAAACUCUGUUAUUAGGGAAGAACAUAUGUGUAAGUAACUGUGCACAUCUUGACGGUACCUAAUCAGAAAGCCACGGCUAACUACGUG
This 497-nucleotide ribosomal RNA is filed under the name uncultured bacterium. RNAcentral's name for it is "partial 16S ribosomal RNA". It matches the Rfam family "Bacterial small subunit ribosomal RNA", at positions 28 to 507 of the family's 1533-position model. The record is from RNAcentral.